Molecule: long non-coding RNA, 854 nt
Organism: Cyprinus carpio (common carp)
Lineage: Eukaryota; Metazoa; Chordata; Actinopteri; Cypriniformes; Cyprinidae
Source: Ensembl
GCGUCACAUACUUGCAGCGCGUACUUUUCGCUGAUUAUGAGAGCCAUGUAGUUUUUCGUUGCGUCGCUGUUAGCAACAAAUGCAGUAUUAAAUCUAAUAAUCCAAAAAGAAGACUUUACGGAUGUAAGAUGUUUUUGCUUGUUAUUUUUUUCUAAAAAGUCUAUUUUAUCUUGUUAUUAUAUAUUAUCAGCUACUCAAAUAGUCUGUCAGCGCUUGUAGGGAUGUGGAAAUUGGCAUAUUUCACAACGAAAGCGUGAAAAUGUUUCAUCUGAAAAAUGGGCAUAUCAAAAAGCAGAAUGAAAAAAGUCGCACCUGUGUCAGUGACAGAGGAAACCGUCUGUAGCAGCGGCGUUCACCGGGAUGAAAGUCAGUUGUUUGGUCCCUCAAACACCAGAGCUUCAGAUCUGCGUGUGUCCUUCAGAAGAAGAGCCCAGGCAGACUGUAACAGUGAGGGGCAGGACUCUGAGUUUUCAGCCGACGAUCUCGCUGAGAAAGUGGACAGAAUCCUCGCUGAGUGUGACAACACUGAUAUAUCACUCAGCAGGACUUCUUAUAAGAUGCCAAUGUUUGGUUCGAAGUCUUUGGGGCUUUACUACUACGCCAAAGGCCAAGACUGCAACAGCGUUUACAGUAGCAGCACACGUGACAACAAUGAAAUGAACACAGUGAACAUAUCAACUUCCAUUCAUGAAAAGGUCAGGCCUCCACAGGACCUGCUAAACUGUGCCAGCAUAGAGAGCACAGCAACAGCUUCAGUUUCUGGAAUUGGUAGUGGUUCAUCUGUGGCCUUGCCUAUCAUGUAUGAUGCUUCAGAAGAGGACCUCAUGAACACAAUCGAGAGGGAGUUCGGUUAA